GACGAACGCUGGCGGCGUGCUUAACACAUGCAAAUCGAACGGAAAGGCCCUGCUUUUGUGGGGUGCUCGAGUGGCGAACGGGUGAGUAACACGUGAGUAACCUGCCCUUGACUUUGGGAUAACUUCAGGAAACUGGGGCUAAUACCGGAUAGGAGCUCCUGCUGCAUGGUGGGGGUUGGAAAGUUUCGGCGGUUGGGGAUGGACUCGCGGCUUAUCAGCUUGUUGGUGGGGUAGUGGCUUACCAAGGCUUUGACGGGUAGCCGGCCUGAGAGGGUGACCGGCCACAUUGGGACUGAGGUACGGCCCAGACUCCUACGGGAGGCAGCAGUGGGGAAUAUUGCACAAUGGGCGGAAGCCUGAUGCAGCAACGCCGCGUGCGGGAUGACGGCCUUCGGGUUGUAAACCGCUUUCGCCUGUGACGAAGCGUGAGUGACGGUAAUGGGUAAAGAAGCACCGGCUAACUACGUG
RNAcentral lists this ribosomal RNA (468 nucleotides) under uncultured bacterium. Its description in RNAcentral is "partial 16S ribosomal RNA". It matches the Rfam family "Bacterial small subunit ribosomal RNA", at positions 28 to 507 of the family's 1533-position model. The record is from RNAcentral.